CCUACGGGACGCAGCAGUAGGGAAUCUUCCACAAUGGGCGAAAGUCUGAUGGAGCAACGCCGCGUGAGUGAAGAAGGGUUUCGGCUCGUAAAACUCUGUUGGUAGAGAAGAAAGAUAGAGGGAGUAACUGGCCUUUUUUUGACGGUAAUUAACUAGAAAGUCACGGCUAACUACGUGCCAGCAGCCGCGGUAAUACGUAGGUGGCAAGCGUUGUCCGGGUUUAUUGGGCGUAAAGCGAGUGCAGGCGGU
Molecule: ribosomal RNA, 249 nt
Filed under: uncultured bacterium
Lineage: Bacteria
Description: partial 16S ribosomal RNA
Rfam family: Bacterial small subunit ribosomal RNA
Source: RNAcentral